AGAGUUUGAUCCUGGCUCAGGACGAACGCUGGCGGCGUGCCUAAUACAUGCAAGUAGAACGCUGAAGAGAGGAGCUUGCUCUUCUUGGAUGAGUUGCGAACGGGUGAGUAACGCGUAGGUAACCUGCCUUGUAGCGGGGGAUAACUAUUGGAAACGAUAGCUAAUACCGCAUAACAAUGGAUGACACAUGUCAUUUAUUUGAAAGGGGCAAUUGCUCCACUACAAGAUGGACCUGCGUUGUAUUAGCUAGUAGGUGAGGUAAUGGCUCACCUAGGCGACGAUACAUAGCCGACCUGAGAGGGUGAUCGGCCACACUGGGACUGAGACACGGCCCAGACUCCUACGGGAGGCAGCAGUAGGGAAUCUUCGGCAAUGGGGGCAACCCUGACCGAGCAACGCCGCGUGAGUGAAGAAGGUUUUCGGAUCGUAAAGCUCUGUUGUAAGUCAAGAACGGGUGUGAGAGUGGAAAGUUCACACUGUGACGGUAGCUUACCAGAAAGGGACGGCUAACUACGUGCCAGCAGCCGCGGUAAUACGUAGGUCCCGAGCGUUGUCCGGAUUUAUUGGGCGUAAAGCGAGCGCAGGCGGUUUGAUAAGUCUGAAGUUAAAGGCUGUGGCUCAACCAUAGUUCGCUUUGGAAACUGUCAAACUUGAGUGCAGAAGGGGAGAGUGGAAUUCCAUGUGUAGCGGUGAAAUGCGUAGAUAUAUGGAGGAACACCGGUGGCGAAAGCGGCUCUCUGGUCUGUAACUGACGCUGAGGCUCGAAAGCGUGGGGAGCGAACAGGAUUAGAUACCCUGGUAGUCCACGCCGUAAACGAUGAGUGCUAGGUGUUGGAUCCUUUCCGGGAUUCAGUGCCGCAGCUAACGCAUUAAGCACUCCGCCUGGGGAGUACGACCGCAAGGUUGAAACUCAAAGGAAUUGACGGGGGCCCGCACAAGCGGUGGAGCAUGUGGUUUAAUUCGAAGCAACGCGAAGAACCUUACCAGGUCUUGACAUCCCGAUGCUAUUUCUAGAGAUAGAAAGUUACUUCGGUACAUCGGUGACAGGUGGUGCAUGGUUGUCGUCAGCUCGUGUCGUGAGAUGUUGGGUUAAGUCCCGCAACGAGCGCAACCCCUAUUGUUAGUUGCCAUCAUUCAGUUGGGCACUCUAGCGAGACUGCCGGUAAUAAACCGGAGGAAGGUGGGGAUGACGUCAAAUCAUCAUGCCCCUUAUGACCUGGGCUACACACGUGCUACAAUGGUUGGUACAACGGGUUGCGAGUCGGUGACGGCGAGCUAAUCUCUUAAAGCCAAUCUCAGUUCGGAUUGUAGGCUGCAACUCGCCUACAUGAAGUCGGAAUCGCUAGUAAUCGCGGAUCAGCACGCCGCGGUGAAUACGUUCCCGGGCCUUGUACACACCGCCCGUCACACCACGAGAGUUUGUAACACCCGAAGUCGGUGAGGUAGCCUUUUGGAGCCAGCCGCCUAAGGUGGGACAGAUGAUUGGGGUGAAGUCGUAACAAGGUA
RNAcentral lists this ribosomal RNA (1506 nucleotides) under metagenome. RNAcentral's name for it is "bacterial SSU rRNA". It matches the Rfam family "Bacterial small subunit ribosomal RNA". The record is from RNAcentral.